CUCAGGUGAUCUGCCUGCCUCGGCCUCCCAAAGUACUGGGAUUAUAGGCGUGAGCCACCGCGCCCGGCCUAACUUUUGGUUUUGUCUGUGCUAACCUUUCCAUUGGCCUGUUCCAGAGAAUCCAGGAGUCCUGCCAAAGUGGCACCAAGUGGCUGGUGGAGACCCAGGUGAAGGCCAGGAGGCGGAAGAGAGGAGCACAGAAGGGCAGUGGAUCCCCAACUCACAGCCUGAGCCAGAAGAGCACCCGGCUGUCUGGAGCCACCCCUGCCCACUCAGCCGCAGACCCCUGGGAGAAGGAGCAUCACCGCCUCUCUGCCCGGAUGGGCUCACGUGCCCACCCAUUACGGCGAUCAAGGCGGGAGGCUGCCUUCCGGAGCCCCUACUCCUCAACAGAGCCCCUCUGCUCUCCCAGCGAGUCCGACAGUGACCUAGAGCCUGUGGGGGUGGGAAUUCAGCAUCUCCAGAAGCUGUCCCAAGAGCUAGAUGAAGCCAUUAUGGCGGAAGAGAGGUGAGUUGGCAUCCCAUGCUUCAAAGUGAAGGGGCCGGGAGGGCCCCUCCAGCCAUCUUUGUAGGCAGGCGUUGGUUCUGCUCUGACCUGCUGUGUGACCCUGGCCAGUCUCUGCCCCUCUCUGGGCCUCAGUCUUCCUCAU
Molecule: small RNA, 650 nt
Filed under: Pan troglodytes (chimpanzee)
Lineage: Eukaryota; Metazoa; Chordata; Mammalia; Primates; Hominidae
Description: retained intron
Source: RNAcentral